GAUGAAGAACGCAGCGAAAUGCGAUAAGUAAUGUGAAUUGCAGAAUUCAGUGAAUCAUCGAAUCUUCGAACGCACAUUGCGCCCGCCAGUAUUCUGGCGGGCAUGCCUGUUCGAGCGUCAUUACAACCCUCAGGCCCCCGGGCCUGGCGUUGGGGAUCGGCGGAAGCCCCCUGCGGGCACAACGCCGUCCCCCAAAUACAGUGGCGGUCCCGCCGCAGCUUCCAUUGCGUAGUAGCUAACACCUCGCAACUGGAGAGCGGCGCGGCCACGCCGUAAAACACCCAACUUCUGAAUGUUGACCUCGAAUCAGGUAGGAAUACCCGCUGAACUUAAGCAUAUCAAUAAGCGGAGGA
Molecule: unclassified non-coding RNA, 353 nt
Filed under: soil metagenome
Description: partial contains 5.8S ribosomal RNA, internal transcribed spacer 2, and large subunit ribosomal RNA
Rfam family: 5.8S ribosomal RNA (bases 1-120)
Source: RNAcentral